Molecule: ribosomal RNA, 221 nt
Filed under: Crypthecodinium cohnii
Lineage: Eukaryota; Dinophyceae; Gonyaulacales; Crypthecodiniaceae
Description: partial Bacterial small subunit ribosomal RNA
Rfam family: Bacterial small subunit ribosomal RNA
Source: RNAcentral
CGGCCGCAAGGCUAAAACUCAAAGGAAUUGACGGGGGCCCGCACAAGCGGCGGAGCAUGCGGAUUAAUUCGAUGCAACGCGAAGAACCUUACCAAGGCUUGACAUAUACGAGAACGCUGCAGAAAUGUAGAACUCUUUGGACACUCGUAAACAGGUGGUGCAUGGUUGUCGUCAGCUCGUGUCGUGAGAUGUUGGGUUAAGUCCCGCAACGAGCGCAACCC